This is a long non-coding RNA of Macaca fascicularis (crab-eating macaque), 1684 nucleotides long. NCBI's taxonomy places the organism in Eukaryota, Metazoa, Chordata, Mammalia, Primates, Cercopithecidae. The record is from Ensembl.
UUUUUUUUGAGACAGGGUCUUACUUUGUUACCCAGGCUAGAGUACAGUGGUGCAAUCUCAGCUCACCAUAACCAGGUUCAAGUGAUUCUCCCACCUUAGUCUCCCAAGUAGCUGGGACUAUAGGCACGUGCCACUAUACCUGGCUAAUUUUUGUAUUUUUAGUAGAGAUGGGGUUUCACCAUGUUGGCCAGGCUGGUCUCGAACUCCUGACCUCAAGUGAUCUGUCUGCCUCAGCCUCCCAAAGUGCUGGGAUUACAGGCGUGAGCCACCGUGCCUGGCCUCUGGGUAGCUUUUUGAAUUCUGAUGCUGCUACCCCAGAGUCUAUACUUUAUGAUUCAAUUUGUGUUAAGCUGUAGAACAGGCUGAAACUAAUUUACAAUGGGAAUAGUCAGAUCAGUGGUUGCUUGAUUGGCAGGUGGGAGUGGAUCGACUGAGAAGUUAUACAGGGGAAGUUUUGGGAUGAUGGUGAUGUUCCGUCUUGAUGGAAAUAUGGGUUACAUGGGUGCAUGCAUUUGUUAGAAUUUAUUGAGUGGUAUACACAAGAUUUGUGAAUUUUACUAUAUUCAUUACAAAUUUUAUUUUUGUAGAGAUGGGGGUCUCACGAUGUUGCCCAGGCUGGUCUUGAACUCCUGAGCUCAAGUGAUCCUCCUGCCUUGGCCUCCCAAAGUGCUGGGAUUACAUGAGCCACCGUGCGCAGGCUAGAAUAUUUGAUUCUUUUCUUUCAUGCUAUGUUAUUAUUUAAAGCCAUGAUUUAGAUGAUGCUGUGUCUCUGGUCUGGAAUGCAGGUUUAUUCAUUGGAAGAACAUGAUCUACAUUGCAACAUGAUCCUCAGAAACACAUUGAAGCAAAAAGGGAGAGACCUAUGUGCUUUCUCUCUUAUUUUUUUGAGACAGUCUUGCUCUGAGUGUAGUGGCGCCAUCUCGGCUCACUGCAACCUCUGCCUUCCGAGUUCAAGUGAUUCUCCCAUCUCAGUCUCCUGAGUAGCUGGGAUUACAGGUGUGUACCACCAUGCCCAGCUAAUUUUUGUAUUUUUAGUAGAAACAGGGUUUCACCCUAUUGCUCAGGCUGAUCUCGAACUCCUGAACUCACACGAUCCACCUGCCUUGGCCUCCCAAAGUGCUGGGAUUACAGGAGUGAGCCACCGCGCCUGACCUAUAUGCAUAUUUUAUAUCUAAAGAAAAAAGGACUAUAAAUAAAUAUGAGAGUCUUGUUAUAACAUGUGUGCUGAAGUGUUUAGGGGUGAAAUGUACUAAUGCCACAGUUCAUUUUUGAAAUGCCUCAAAAUAGGCAUUUUGAGGGAUGGAUAGUUGAAUAGAUUAUAUGAUAAACUGAGCAUAAUGAAGUGUUAAUUGUAGACUUCAGGGAUGGGUAUAUGGAUGUUCACUGCAAAAUUCUUUCAACUUUUCACUAAGUUUGAACAUUUCCUAAAAAUUUUAAUUCAUUUCUUUUCUUCUUUUUUUCUUUUCUUUUUUUUUUUUAGACGGAGUCUUGCUCUGUCGCCCAGGCUGGAGUGCAGUGGCGUGAUCUCCGCUCACUGCAAGCUCUGCCUCCCGGGUUCACGCCAUUCUCCUGCCUCCUAAUUCAUUUCUUUUUUUUAGAGACAGGGUCUUUCUCUGUCUCCCAGGCUGGAGUGCAGUGAUGUGAUCCUAGCUCACUGCAGCCUUGAAUUCCUGGGCUCAAAGGA